RNAcentral lists this ribosomal RNA (195 nucleotides) under Triticum aestivum (bread wheat). RNAcentral describes it as "partial small subunit ribosomal RNA". Lineage: Eukaryota; Viridiplantae; Streptophyta; Magnoliopsida; Poales; Poaceae. The record is from RNAcentral.
AUGGGUUACUAUCUUGCCGACUGUAUUUAUCCUUCAUGGUCAACCUUUGUGAAGACCAUUAGUGACCCUAGAACCAAGAAACACAAUUUUUUUUGCCAAAGCACAAGAAGCUUGCCAAAAGGAUAUGGAGAGGGCAUUUGGUGUGCUGCAAGCUCGGUUUGCCAUUGUUCGAGGUCCCACUCGCUUCAGGGAUAA